This 83-nucleotide small RNA is filed under the name Flavobacterium granuli. Its description in RNAcentral is "Flavo-1 RNA". Lineage: Bacteria; Pseudomonadati; Bacteroidota; Flavobacteriia; Flavobacteriales; Flavobacteriaceae. The record is from RNAcentral.
UCAUUGCGCAAGGGAUGGCAGCGGAUAGCCCACAGUCCCGAUUUUUUCGGGACGAGGACUACUAGCGAACAGCCCGGUCCUGC